UAGCAUGUAGGUCAAGGACUUAUCGAGGUUUAAAGAUAUCACUUUUGGAGUAUAUUGUCAUUGGAUGUCCAAGAGCUAUAGGUUGUGUUGUGGGUAUGGACAUUGGAGAUGUACUGACAUGGGUUGGAAGUACUUCAGAGUCACUAGUACUAGAAGAGGAUAAAGGUAGUGGGUGUGUUUCCGAGGGCAAUACUUCAGUAGUAGGG
RNAcentral lists this long non-coding RNA (206 nucleotides) under Musa acuminata (dwarf banana). Its description in RNAcentral is "long non-coding RNA (MACU_LNC007928)". The record is from RNAcentral. Lineage: Eukaryota; Viridiplantae; Streptophyta; Magnoliopsida; Zingiberales; Musaceae.